This 240-nucleotide unclassified non-coding RNA is filed under the name uncultured fungus. RNAcentral's name for it is "sequence contains ITS1". Lineage: Eukaryota; Fungi. The record is from RNAcentral.
UAUUGCAUUUCAAUUCUCCUUCAAAAUACAGCGUGUGUAUGUAAAACAUGGAUCCAAAAGUAACAAGGAAAGCCCACAAAAAAAUAAAUCUUGCAAAGCAGUCCCAAUGAAGAUCCACACAAGAGGUGCACAGAUAGAUGGGGAAAUGAAGAGCGACAGAGCGUGCACGGCUGUAGGGCCAGCGACAACUCGGUCGAGUCUAUUUCUAUAAUGAUCCUUCCGCAGGUUCACCUACGGAAA